CCUUUUGAUGUGAGAGUGCAGAUUAUUCAAAAAGGUAGCAUCUCUUGGUGCAAAUGAUACAGGGCUAUUGUUGAAUAUUAUUUGCUCCAAUCUGAAGCCUUGGUGGUUAGUGAUUGUGCUCUGCCAAGUUGUUAUCUCUUAAACUGGUUUCUGCCAUUGAGUUUAUAGUUUCAUAUGAUUAUUUUCUUGUAUGUAA
Long non-coding RNA from Arachis duranensis, 196 nucleotides. RefSeq lists it as uncharacterized. The record is from RefSeq and is a predicted model, not a curated record. The transcript has 2 exons. NCBI's taxonomy places the organism in Eukaryota, Viridiplantae, Streptophyta, Magnoliopsida, Fabales, Fabaceae.